UCGAUAGACAAAAUCGUUUUCGCAUACCACAGCAACGAAUUUCAGGCAUGAUGCCAAAAUGACACUUCAGCCUGUAUCUCUGCAAUGCUUUGGCAUACUGACACCAAACUUUGUGUGUGCCAUUGUCACCUCACAUAGAACACACCAAAAUGAUUUGAUCACAGCGCCACCUGUUGAUCAAAAGUGAUAAGCCAUUUAAUCAUAAUACUAGUGCUUGUAUUUAUGAUUUUUCCGCCAUUUCAAUUACAAUCUUCCUAAAAUUGCUGUAAUUGCUCAUUGUUGCAUUUGGUGUGAUGCUCCAUGCCAUGCUUAGCUCCUCAAUUUGCUGCUGGAGUGCUUGGCCCCGUAAUUGCUGCUUGCAGCUAUAUUUAGGGGCCAAGCACCGAAGGUGCGUAGGCACCUAUUGUAUCCGUGGGCGUUAUUUUCUUCUUCUUCUUCUUCUUCUUCUUCUUCUUCUUCUUCCGCCGCAAGUCUAUGGCAGCCCAUAGAACCGAUUGCGGGAAAGUUGUAUAAUUUGGCACACUGAUAGAGGACAGUCCCAGCAUUAACUAUAGCAAAUUUGAAGUCUCUAACUCCAACUCUCUAGCGCCA
Cyprinus carpio carpio is the source of this 591-nucleotide long non-coding RNA. NCBI's taxonomy places the organism in Eukaryota, Metazoa, Chordata, Actinopteri, Cypriniformes, Cyprinidae. The record is from Ensembl.